Molecule: transfer RNA, 72 nt
Filed under: Camelus bactrianus (Bactrian camel)
Lineage: Eukaryota; Metazoa; Chordata; Mammalia; Artiodactyla; Camelidae
Also listed under: 3 other names
Rfam family: tRNA
About the family: Transfer RNA (tRNA) molecules are approximately 80 nucleotides in length.
Source: Rfam by way of RNAcentral
GAGGGUAUAACUCAGUGGUAGAGUGCAUGCUUAGCAUGCAUGAGGUCCUGGGUUCAACCUCCAGUACCUCCA